Non-coding RNA from Pelobates cultripes (western spadefoot toad), 499 nucleotides. The record is from the annotation of a GenBank genome assembly. NCBI's taxonomy places the organism in Eukaryota, Metazoa, Chordata, Amphibia, Anura, Pelobatidae.
CCCAGACAUGUAAACACAUUCCUUCAGCUUUUCAUUUUAUAAACAAUUUGUUCAACAAGGUAACUUUCUUAAUUUUCUACUCGGCUCUUAAAAUAAACAAUCAGCUAAUAGCUGCUUUCUGCAUCUUCCUUGCAAUUCAGGAGUACACAACACUAAAAGUCCAAUACUCAGUACCCCCUAGCCUAAAUUCCCCACCCGCUACUGUAACUAAGUUUACAGCCCACGUUAUGGCAGUUCACCCGCUAGGCAGAUAUGCUCAGUACCCCCUAGUUUAAGUUCCCCACCCGCUAUUGUAACCAAGUUUACAGCCCACGUUAUGGCAGUUCACCCGCUAGGCAGAUAUGCUCAGUACCCCCUAGCCUAAGUUCCCCACCCGCUACUGUAACUAAGUUUACAGCCCAUGUUAUGGCAGUUCACCCACUAGGCAGAUAUGCUCAGUACCCCCUAGCCUAAGUUCCCCACCCGCUACUGUAACUAAGUUUACAGCCCACGUUAUGGC